GUAGAUAAAGAAGCCAUUAACAAUUGCGUAAGGUCUCAUAAAUGCCUUUAUGAUUAAAGUCUCAUGUAUACAAAUCAUUAUAUACGCCAAAUGCAUCAAAUUAUAUAAUAUCUAUAUUUGAUGAAAAGAGUGGAUUAUGGUAUCCUCUUGUUGAAAGGGCCCUUUGAUGAUGAAUAUUCACUUAUAUUAAAUAAUUCCGAAAUUUAUGACUCUUCAUUAAAGAAUGGAUCAUUAUAUGCUCCUGUAACUCCUUUUACCUCAAUUAAAGCAAAAAAGACACUAACUCAUAACAGGGAUUUAAUAUUGAGGAUG
Gordionus sp. m RMFG-2023 is the source of this 312-nucleotide long non-coding RNA. RefSeq lists it as uncharacterized. The transcript is spliced from 3 exons. The record is from RefSeq and is a predicted model, not a curated record. Lineage: Eukaryota; Metazoa; Nematomorpha; Gordioida; Chordodea; Parachordodidae.